AGCACCACAACAGGUGGACGUCCUGCGGUUUAAUCGGACUCAACGCCGGGAAACUCACCAGAUAAGACAGCUGAAUGAUAGUCGGGCUGAAGACUCUACUUGACUAGCUGAGAGGAGGUGCAUGGCCGUCGUCAGUUCGUACUGUGAAGCAUCCUGUUAAGUCAGGCAACGAGCGAGACCCACGUCCACAGUUGCCAGCAUACCCUCCGGGGUGAUGGGUACACUGUGGAGACCGCCGCUGCUAAAGCGGAGGAAGGAAUGGGCAACGGUAGGUCAGUAUGCCCCGAAUCUCCCGGGCUACACGCGGGCUACAAUGGUUGGUACAAUGGGCAUCUACCCCGAAAGGGGAAGGAAAUCUCUUAAAGCCAAUCGUAGUUCGGAUUGAGGGCUGCAACUCGCCCUCAUGAAGCUGGAAUCCGUAGUAAUCGCGUUUCAACAGAACGCGGUGAAUACGUCCCUGCUCCUU
This 466-nucleotide ribosomal RNA is filed under the name uncultured Methanolinea sp. Its description in RNAcentral is "bacterial SSU rRNA". It matches the Rfam family "Archaeal small subunit ribosomal RNA", at positions 875 to 1338 of the family's 1478-position model. The record is from RNAcentral. Lineage: Archaea; Methanobacteriati; Methanobacteriota; Methanomicrobia; Methanomicrobiales; Methanoregulaceae.